CAGUAAGAAUUCGAUAACAGAUAUUUGGGCAGUUUUAUGCUGGGGACGGCGUGGUUGAUAGUCUACUUGCACAUUUUGGGCAGUGCCACGAAACGUCUUAAAGAGAGCGAUCUGCUCGUGUCUCAGCCAGUAAGUAUUAUUUCAUACCAUUUAUAAUUUUUGCAAGCUAAGGUAACAACAAUAGGUGGUUCAAGUAACAUUUAAACUCUAUAAAAAUUAUAAAACAUAAUCUCAAUAACUAAUGGUUUUAAUCGGUUAAGUGGUUGCUUAAUCAAUUAACAAAAAGCUAGAGUUAAUCGAUUAACUGAAGGCUUAAUCGAUAAAUCUAUUGGUUAUCUUGAAAAUCAUUUGGUUCUUGAUGCUGCAAGAAAGCAAUGAUUAAACUAAUCUAAUAUGUUCUUAAUAGACUAACUGAAGGCUUGACCAAUUAACCUACUGGUUUUCUUAAAAAUCUUUUAGUUCUUGAUGUAGCAAGAAAGAAGUGAUUAUACUAAUCUAAUAUGCUCUUAAAUAGAUUAUUGAAAAUGAUUAACAGAGCAAAUUCACUUAUGCAAUAAUCUCUAAGCGAGUGUGAUAAAAUGAAGCUAAAGUACGGUAAUUGCAUGUAUGUAAAAUAAUAGGGUAAGAUAGAAGAUAACAUAGUCAAUUUAUCCUGGUUCGAUUUCCAACCCCAACCCACAUGUAAUCUACAUCUAGUUCUCCCCUUAUGAUCUUGCGAGAUUUGAUUUACUAAGAAGAAAUCAAAUGCUUAUACAAAACACUUCUUCCACCAAGAAUUCUCUUGGACCUAGCUUCUAAUGGCUCCUCACCACUUCUAACCAAGUAUACACAAUGAGACCUCUUCUUGGACAUUAACCACAACCUAGGAUUUCUCCUAAUUUUCUCUCUUCUUCCAAGGUGAUACCUCACACCCUCAAAGACACAAAUUUACAAAUUGACCAUAAAGAUAUUUACAAAUUUCCUUGCACCUAAAAUAUGCUAAUCAUACACUAAUAUUCAGAACAUUUCUACCCCUUGAUGAAUCUCACAAUCUCGGUGAUGAAUAUGAAUGAUUAUGAUUCACAAAAUGAAAAUCUUUGAAAACUCUCAAUGUAUGAAAAUAAAAUCUUUCAAAGAUUUACAAAACUCUUUCUUUUUACAUGAAAGUUUUUUUUCUCUUUUCAGAAAAUCACUCUUGAAAAAUGUGUAUCAAUCUUGCAUCAUGUUUCUGUAAGUGUAAAAAUUCUUGUUCUUUUUUCCCAUGGGAAAGGAUGGUAUAAUAUCAUUUAGUUUCAAACUUUUUUGUUGAGGAUCAUUUAAUCGAUUAACGUUUCUUUUAAAACGUCCAAGAUUAUGAUAGUGCAAAGUGUCAAGUAUAGCACUAUUAGAUUGCCUAUGUUUUGAUGAAGACAAGGAUUUAGUGAAAGCUUGAAGAUAACUCAAAAAAUCAACUUGCCAUGGACUCAAGGGUUUCAUAUCUAGACUAGGUUCCUUAAAAGAGUCAUUUUUAGAGUCUUAGAUGUGUGCCUUAGAUAUUGAGUCUAGGUUAGGUAAACCUAGAUGCAAUUCUCACAAGCCUUAAAAAAUAAUCAAUUCACUUAUAUGAGACAUGCCAUCUAGAUUAUUAUGUGUUCAUGCAUUAAGCAUACAUGUUACUUAUGCAUCUUAGGCAUAAUAUAUUGCUAAAACAUGUAUAGGUGAUUAACAUAACAUAUAGGUAGUUUACCAUUUAAUCAUCUAGCUGAAAAAUAUGCCAAUUAAUCGAAGGUACUAGCGAAGUCAAGCGUGCUAGGAUGAAUGCCCUGGUACAUGAGUACAAGUUGUUUCGUAUGUUGCCGAGUGAAUCUAUCGGCAACAUGGAAAAGCGAUUCACACAUAUAGUAAACCAUUUAGUUGCUCUAGAUAAAAAUUUUACCAAAGGAGAACUAACUAAUAAAGUUUUGCGUUGUCUUGACAGGAGAUGGCAACCUAAAGUUACAACCUUUGGAAACAUUAUUUGGAAAGCUUCAAGAGCACGAGAUGGAACUUGGGCGCUUGACAAUGCAUGAGGAAUCAGAUCACAAAAAGAAAGG
Molecule: long non-coding RNA, 2051 nt
Filed under: Lupinus angustifolius (narrow-leaved blue lupine)
Lineage: Eukaryota; Viridiplantae; Streptophyta; Magnoliopsida; Fabales; Fabaceae
Description: long non-coding RNA (LANG_LNC001670)
Source: RNAcentral